This 495-nucleotide ribosomal RNA is filed under the name uncultured bacterium. RNAcentral describes it as "partial 16S ribosomal RNA". It matches the Rfam family "Bacterial small subunit ribosomal RNA", at positions 28 to 507 of the family's 1533-position model. The record is from RNAcentral.
GACGAACGCUGGCGGCGUGCCUAAUACAUGCAAGUAGAACGCUGAAGGAGGAGCUUGCUUCUCUGGAUGAGUUGCGAACGGGUGAGUAACGCGUAGGUAACCUGCCUGGUAAUGGGGGAUAACUAUUGGAAACGAUAGCUAAUACCGCAUAAUAGCAGUUGUUGCAUGAUAACUGUUUGAAAGGUGCAAUUGCACCGCUACCAGAUGGACCUGCGUUGUAUUAGCUAGUUGGUGGGGUAACGGCUCACCAAGGCGACGAUACAUAGCCGACCUGAGAGGGUGAUCGGCCACACUGGGACUGAGACACGGCCCAGACUCCUACGGGAGGCAGCAGUAGGGAAUCUUCGGCAAUGGACGGAAGUCUGACCGAGCAACGCCGCGUGAGUGAAGAAGGUUUUCGGAUCGUAAAGCUCUGUUGUAAGAGAAGAACGAGUGUGAGAGUGGAAAGUUCACACUGUGACGGUAUCUUACCAGAAAGGGACGGCUAACUACGUG